CUUCCGGCUAGAGCAGUGUCGUUAGUUUCGCACGUGUGUUUCCCUUUCGGGAUUCCCGGAUUACCCCUGCAUCUGGUGAAUUUGUCGGGCCUGGGCUCCCCUGCAGAUUUAGGAUGAAGGUGAGAAGAAAUAAAAAACAGGUCCCAAGCUUUCGGAAGUUGCUAAAAACUAGUAAAGUCAAACUUGAAAACAAGCUAAAAAACAAACAAUUUAAACAACAAAGCACUCUCAAGAAGUACCGAAAAGAACAGAGGAAACUAAGACAAGCUGUAAAAGAUGCUGUGUCUAAGAAACCUAUUCCAUUGGAGGACCCAAAGGAAAAACGACCAGGUAAAAGGAUUGAGAGGGAAGAGAAAGAAGAGGAGGAAGCCCUUCCUUUAGAUAUGAUGGAUGAAGAUGACUUACAGUUAAUGAAGGAUUUAGGGCAAAGAGCAUCUUUUCUAACGAGAGAUCUUUCUUCUAGUGAGCCUGUUCACGCCAGGAAGCGGAAGCAUGAGCGUGUUAUAGAUAAAUAUGAAAAAAUACCAAGAACUCUGCAAACUGCACCUGAGAAGGAACUGAUUCACUUACUUCCUAUUAAAGAUAAAAGUGGUAUAAUCCCACAGACCAGAGAGAAACCAGUUAUUGACAGUAACCAAGAUGAAGAGGAUCAAGAAGAGAUGGAACCUGAAGAAGAGAUCACUGAAGAACCCAUUAAAGAGCUGACAUUAGAAGAACAUUUAAUUGAGAGGAAGAAGAAACUACAGGAGAAGAAAAUACGUAUCGCAGCCUUGGCAUCUGCCAUAUUAUCAGAUCCAGAAAGUAAUAUUAAAAAAUUGAAAGAAUUACGUUCCAUGCUGAUGGAACAGGAUCCUGACGUGGCUGUUACUGUUCGAAAGCUGGUGAUAGUUUCUCUAAUGGAGUUAUUUAAAGACAUUACUCCUUCUUAUAAAAUACGACCCCUAACAGAGGCAGAAAAAUCUACCAAGAUCCGCAAAGAAACCCAAAAGUUAAGAGAAUUUGAAGAAGGCCUGGUUAGCCAAUAUAAAUUUUACUUGGAAAAUCUGGAGCAAAUGGUUAAAGACUGGAAGCAAAGGAAGCUGAAGAAAAGUAAUGUGGUUUCCUUAAAGGCCUACAAGGGACUGGCAGAGGUGGCUGUGAAGAGCCUGUGUGAGCUGCUGGUGGCCCUGCCUCAUUUCAACUUUCACAACAACAUCAUUGUACUGAUUGUCCCUCUCAUGAAUGACAUGUCAAAAUUGAUAUCUGAAAUGUGUUGUGAAGCAGUAAAGACACUCUUUAAACAAGAUAAAUUAGGCCAAGCAUCACUGGGUGUAAUUAAAGUGAUUUCUGGUUUUGUGAAAGGCAGAAAUUAUGAAGUUAGGCCAGAGAUGUUAAAAACAUUCUUGUGCCUAAGGAUCAAAGAAGUAGAAGUAAAAAAAGAUACAGAGGAUACUAAUAAACAAAAAAAGUUCAUGACUUUCAAGGAAAAGAGAAAAACUCUAUCAAGAAUGCAGAGAAAGUGGAAGAAAGCAGAAGAGAAACUAGAGAGAGAGCUUCGGGAGGCAGAAGCUUCGGAGAAUACUGAGAAAAAACUUAAACUGCACACGGAGACUCUGAAUAUCGUGUUUGUGACCUACUUCAGAAUAUUGAAGAAGGCCCAGAGGUCACCUCUCCUGCCAGCAGUUCUGGAAGGUCUUGCCAAGUUUGCUCACCUUAUAAAUGUGGAGUUUUUUGAUGAUUUAUUAGUAGUUCUACAUUCUCUCAUUGAGUCUGGUGACCUAAGCUAUCAAGAAAGUCUUCACUGUGUCCAGACUGCUUUUCAUGUUCUUUCUGGGCAAGGUGACGUUCUGAAUAUUGAUCCAAUGAAAUUCUAUACACAUCUUUACAAAACACUGUUCAAGUUACAUGCAGGUGCUACGAAUGAAGGUGUUGAGAUCGUCCUCCAGUGCCUUGACGUCAUGCUGACUAAGCGCAGGAAGCAAGUUUCUCAGCAGCGGGCCCUUGCCUUCAUCAAGCGCCUUUGUACCCUUGCUCUUCAUGUGCUUCCAAAUUCAAGCAUUGGCAUUUUAGCAACUAACAGAAUAUUAAUGCAUACUUUCCCCAAAACAGAUCUGUUGCUUGACAAUGAAUCUCAGGGUAGUGGAGUUUUCCUUCCUGAGCUGGAUGAACCUGAGUACUGCAAUGCUCAGAACACUGCUCUUUGGGAAUUGCAUGCACUGAGGCGACAUUACCAUCCCAUAGUGCAGAGAUUUGCAGCUCACCUCAUCGCUGGAGCCCCUUCUGAAGGCUCGGAAGCACUCAAACCAGAGUUGAGCCGAAGAUCUGCUUCAGAACUUUUUGAGGCUUAUAGCAUGGCAGCAAUGACAUUCAAUCCUCCUGUUGAAUCUUCAAAUUCCAAAAGGAAGGAUAAAGUUUUACAAGGGGAUUCAUUUUUAAGUGAAGAGAUAAGUCAACUAAUCAAAAGACAUUGUAGUGAAGUUGCUACUCAGUUGCCUCCGGAUUUCACCAAAUAUUUGGAAACAUCACUAAGGUUCUAUGUUAAAAAAGAAGAAAAGUCUGAGUAGAUGCAGGUGUCAGAGGAGAGCAUAUUGACCAUAGGAAGACACCUAACAGCUUGAGAGCCCAGAAGACAAGAAAAUCAUACAAAGCAGGCAGGCAAGAUCAGAGGUUACCGACAGAGGCUAAACUUGAAGUGAGUGACCAGAGAAGGCUGCCACCAUCCGGCUUAGACUGAGCAAACAUUCUUCUCUUCAGGCAUCCCCUCCCCGCCCCCACCACCCGCCCCCAACAAUGAUGCAAGGACCAGAGUCAGCACUUGGCACUGCUGCAUCUCACUUGGAGAAGCAGAAUUAACUGGGGAUGGGGUGGGGGAGCAGAAGAUUCUCAAGAAGACUCUGCCCCCCUUACCCCAGCCCUUGGUCUACGGUCGAUGCUGGGCUGUGGAUUGUGUGGGGCAAGGCAGCUACUACUACAGCAAUAAUUCAGGGCACGAAGCUUCCAGGAGCAGGUCAGUCGACACUGUUAGCUCCAUGAUAGGGCCAGCGUCACUCCCUCCCCAGUCCUGCUUUAUAGCCCUGUGAUUACUCACGUAGGGUGACAGUAAUAUGCUACUUUUUAUGGGUGGUCCGUGGAAAUGUUUCCUUACUUUACAUCAUCCUAUUUUAUAACGUCUCCAAAACCCCAACAGUGCUUUGUGAUAGUAGACACCGAAGUUCAUGGACGGACUGAUUUAAAAAACAAAGCCCCCCAAACCACUUGGUAGUAGCUUCUGAUUGAUAAUCUAUGAAAUCUGACACAAGCUGCUUUCUCUGACUUUAAGUCCGUUGUAAAAUGUUGGGCAAAAUGUUAACCUGUGCCUAGAGAUUCCCCUCAAAGCAGAACUGUUUAUUAA
Physeter macrocephalus (sperm whale) is the source of this 3370-nucleotide RNA transcript. It is a transcript of the gene named NOC3 like DNA replication regulator, with no coding region annotated. The record is from RefSeq and is a predicted model, not a curated record. The transcript has 24 exons. Lineage: Eukaryota; Metazoa; Chordata; Mammalia; Artiodactyla; Physeteridae.